RNAcentral lists this ribosomal RNA (253 nucleotides) under uncultured bacterium. Its description in RNAcentral is "partial 16S ribosomal RNA". It matches the Rfam family "Bacterial small subunit ribosomal RNA", at positions 524 to 776 of the family's 1533-position model. The record is from RNAcentral.
CACGGAGGGUGCAAGCGUUAUCCGGAUUCACUGGGUUUAAAGGGUGCGUAGGCGGCGCGGUAAGUCGGGUGUGAAAUCUCGGAGCUUAACUCCGAAACUGCAUUCGAUACUGCGGUGCUUGAGGACUGGAGAGGAGACUGGAAUUCAUGGUGUAGCAGUGAAAUGCGUAGAGAUCAUGAGGAAGACCAGUGGCGAAGGCGGGUCUCUGGACAGUUCCUGACACUGAGACACGAAGGCCAGGGGAGCAAACGGG